Molecule: ribosomal RNA, 305 nt
Filed under: uncultured bacterium
Lineage: Bacteria
Description: bacterial SSU rRNA
Rfam family: Bacterial small subunit ribosomal RNA
Source: RNAcentral
UCCUACGGGCGCAGCAGUGGGGGAUAUUGCACAAUGGGGGAAACCCUGAUGCAGCAACGCCGCGUGGAGGAUGAAGGUUUUCGGAUUGUAAACUCCUUUUGUUAGAGAAGAUAAUGACGGUAUCUAACGAAUAAGCACCGGCUAACUCCGUGCCAGCAGCCGCGGUAAUACGGAGGGUGCAAGCGUUACUCGGAAUCACUGGGCGUAAAGAGCGCGUAGGCGGGAUAGCAAGUCAGAUGUGAAAUCCUAUGGCUUAACCAUAGAACUGCAUUUGAAACUGUUAUUCUAGAGUAUGGGAGAGGUAG